GACGAACGCUGGCGGCGUGCUUAGCACAUGCAAGUCGAACGGAAAGGCCCUGCUUUUGUGGGGUGCUCGAGUGGCGAACGGGUGAGUAACACGUGAGUAACCUGCCCUUGACUUUGGGAUAACUUCAGGAAACUGGGGCUAAUACCGGAUAGGAGCUCCUGCUGCAUGGUGGGGGUUGGAAAGUUUCGGCGGUUGGGGAUGGACUCGCGGCUUAUCAGCUUGUUGGUGGGGUAGUGGCUUACCAAGGCUUUGACGGGUAGCCGGCCUGAGAGGGUGACCGGCCACAUUGGGACUGAGAUACGGCCCAGACUCCUACGGGAGGCAGCAGUGGGGAAUAUUGCACAAUGGGCGGAAGCCUGAUGCAGCAACGCCGCGUGCGGGAUGACGGCCUUCGGGUUGUAAACCGCUUUCGCCUGUGACGAAGCGUGGGUGACGGUAAUGGGUAAAGAAGCACCGGCUAACUACGUG
This 468-nucleotide ribosomal RNA is filed under the name uncultured bacterium. RNAcentral describes it as "partial 16S ribosomal RNA". It matches the Rfam family "Bacterial small subunit ribosomal RNA", at positions 28 to 507 of the family's 1533-position model. The record is from RNAcentral.